Molecule: long non-coding RNA, 1705 nt
Organism: Cyanistes caeruleus (blue tit)
Lineage: Eukaryota; Metazoa; Chordata; Aves; Passeriformes; Paridae
Source: Ensembl
CUCGGGGCUGCCCCGCUGCUCGGGGAGCCCAAAACAGCCCGAGCCGAGGCUGAAAGCUGCUGGGAGCUCGCAGAUGGAGCGCUUGGACUCUCCAGCUUCUGCUCCAUCCACAUCAGCCCAGGGAUUCUCGCUGGGUAUACUGCCCUGAUCCCUGGGGAGGAGGAGAAAAGGAGAAAACAUCCCCUUGGCACCACAUUUCAUCAAGGUUCUGCUGCCAAAACUUUGUGUGUCUCCAGCUGAGCCCCCGAGGGUGCCAGGCAGUGCCAAUUUGGGGCAUCAGCAUCCUCUGGCAGCAGCCGUGGCUCUGCUCGAGCCCUGCGAGGCCAGGCUGCUUCUCUGCUGGCACCUUCCUCCUUCCCUCCCUGCUCUCCGGCUCAUCCUUCCUUUGGAGGGGCAGGGCAGCCCUGCACAUCUGCACGGCACAGCUGGCAGAGCACACCUGGACAGGAUACCCCCCCCAAACCCCUGGCUGUGCUGAUCCCACUGCAGCAGCGCUGGGAUGUUCCCGGUCCUUCCCCACCUGGGAUGUUCCUGGUCCUUCCCCCCCUGGGAUGUUCCUGGUCCUUCCCCACCAUGGGAUGUUCCCGGUCCUUCCCUUCCCUGCUCCAGGCCCUCCCCUCCCACUUUUUGUGCUCAAUUUGUAGUUUUGUGUCACUCCCCCUCCGAAAUCCCUGCUCCAGCUGAUGUUCUCUAGACCUUAAAGAAUAUUUAACCAUCUGGUAAAUUAUUUAUCCCUCGGAGGUUCGGUGCACUCAGGGCAGCUCGGGGCCCUCCUGGAGAAUUAACGAGAGCAAUAAAUCAAAGAGACAUUGGAGAAAUUUCCCAUUCCCGGGCUGAACCCCCAAAUGCCACUCGCAGGGUGGGAGCCAGGCGCUGCCACUUGCUGCUGCUACUUGUUUAGGAGCUUGUUAAAUUUAGAAGUUAAAUAGACUCCAGGAAGCGGAUGAGACACAGCAAUCGCUGGCUGAGGGGGAAAUUGGGUGGCUGCCACCUCCUAAUGCUCCUUUUGAAGGUGUUUUUUUUCCCUGGCUUUGCAAAGCUUUCCCUCUGCCACCGUCCAUGCAGCUCUGGGGGAGGAGGAGCCGAGGCUGCAGCGCCGUGCCCGGGGAUGGGGAUGAUCCCACCGGGCAGGGCUGGAUCUGGGGCUGGCAGAGGGGACAGUGCUGCCCCAGGGGCUCCUGGCAGUGCUGGGCCUGUAAAAGGCCGGUGGCUUUUCCCUGUUGUCCUUCAGGUGGGUGGGGUGGGGAUGGAGCGAGGUCUCUGCAUCCCACUGGGAUGCUCGGGAUGGUCCUGCACUACUCAGGUGUCUCCUGGCCAAGGGAUCCCAAGGACACGUCCCCUCCUGAGAGCCCCAGGAAAGGAUUUGGGUCAGAAGGAGGUCCAGGGAGGAGAAAUCCAGCACGGGGUUUUGCCCACAGCACAGAUCACAGCUGUGACAGCUUUCCCUCCACCACCAAACCCUUCUGCUCCUCCUGCACCCUCCAGCUCUCAGUCAUCGCUGGGGGGAGAGGAGGAGUGGGCAGCCUGUGCAGGAAAUCGCCAGGAGUCUGUUUUCUGCCCAUUUGUCAGUCUGAUGAACAAGAAAAAUAUGGGCAAGCUGGGUGAAGGAGAAAUGGAGAGUCUGGAGGAGGCUGGAGUGCGCUUCUCCACCGCCAGGAGCAGCCCCAGUUAUCCACCUACAUGCGAGGGGCCGGGAUUUUGCUGA